UACGAAGGGGGCUAGCGUUGUUCGGAAUCACUGGGCGUAAAGGGUGCGUAGGCGGGUCUUUUAAGUCAGAGGUGAAAUCCUGGAGCUCAACUCCAGAACUGCCUUUGAUACUGAAGAUCUUGAGUUCGGGAGAGGUGAGUGGAACUGCGAGUGUAGAGGUGAAAUUCGUAGAUAUUCGCAAGAACACCAGUGGCGAAGGCGGCUCACUGGCCCGGUACUGACGCUGAGGUGCGAAAGCGUGGGGAGCAAACAGGG
This 255-nucleotide ribosomal RNA is filed under the name uncultured bacterium. Its description in RNAcentral is "partial 16S ribosomal RNA". It matches the Rfam family "Bacterial small subunit ribosomal RNA", at positions 524 to 777 of the family's 1533-position model. The record is from RNAcentral.